Dendrobium catenatum is the source of this 2597-nucleotide RNA transcript. It is a transcript of the gene named regulator of nonsense transcripts UPF3, with no coding region annotated. NCBI's taxonomy places the organism in Eukaryota, Viridiplantae, Streptophyta, Magnoliopsida, Asparagales, Orchidaceae. The record is from RefSeq and is a predicted model, not a curated record. The transcript is spliced from 13 exons.
UUAGUCCUCUUUGGGUCGAUUUCUCCCCCUACUAAUCUCAGACUGCUUCGUUUUUGCUUGGACCAGCGGAUUUAAGCCCUAAUUGUGCAAAAACGGUACCCGAUUUUGGCUGAAAUCCUGCGAUACCGAGCCCUGGAAGAGAUUUGAUUCCGGCGAGGGAAGCGGUUCGCCGUUGCCCUUAUGUGGUUUUCUUUCUCGUGUAUUCUUGCUUAGAUUCAUGUGAGAUGAAGGAUCCGCUGGAGAGGACGAAGGUCGUGCUGCGGCACUUGCCGUCGUCGCUCACUGAGCCGGCUCUCAUGGAGCAGAUCGACGGAAAGUUUGCCGGCAGGUACAAAUGGUUAUGCUUCCGGCCGGGGAAAAACAGCCAAAAGAAUCCGCGAUAUUCACGAGCUUACAUUGAUUUCAAGAACCCUGAAGAUGUCUUUGAGUUUGCCGAGUUCUUUGAUGGCCAUGUAUUUGUCAAUGAAAAAGGUACUCAGUUUAAGGUUCUGGUGGAAUAUGCUCCAUCUCAAUGCAUUCCGAAGCCAAGGACCAAGAAAGAUGGCCGUGAGGGGACAAUAUUCAAGGAUCCUGAAUAUUUGGAGUUUCUCGAGCUUCUUACAAAGCCUACAGAGAAUCUCCCUAGUGCUGAGAUUCAGCUUGAAAGGAGAGAAGCUGAAAGAGCUGGUGCUGCUAAGGAGGUUCCUAUUGUGACUCCUUUGAUGGAUUUCAUCAGGAAAAAAAGGGCAGCUAAGAGCGGGCCUCAGGUAAAUUUUCAGAGAAUGCCCGGUAAUGGAAAAUCAAGCAGAAGAGCUGUAAUUGCUGGUAACAGUUCUAGCCCGUAUUCCAAACGUGGUUCUGAUAAGAGAAGAGGUCCCAACUUAAUGUAUGUUUCAAGGGAUAAUCCGAAGAAUGAAAGUGGAAAGGAACAGCAAACUUACAUAUUAAUGCCAAGGAGGGAUGAACGACUUACUGAGACAUCCACUGAUCUUCCAUCUACAAGCAGGAAAGAAGACAUUCAAGUAGAAACAGUUACUGGCCGGAAUGGAACGAUAUCCGCAGUGCCUGUUUCUGUAGAAACAGGGAAAAAGGCUCUUUUGCUUUUGAAAGGGAAAGAACGUGGAAGUUCUCAUAUUCAGCAACUCGAGGCUCCUGGAAGAAUUAUUAGAAGCAUAUUAUCUAACAAGGAAAGGCAGCAGGUGUUGACAUCUCAAUCAGACCCUCAGUUGAUUAAUGGCAACACAGAGAAAGAUAAGCGCCCUCCCCGACCUCCUGUCCCACCACCAAAUUUAAAGGAACGUGCUUCUGGUUUAUUGCACGUAUCUGCUUCAGAUGCUAAUGGAAAAUCAAAUAUAGAUGACCUCAUUGAUUCAAAUAAAUUGCAUGCUUUCACUAUCGAAAAUAAGCACGACAAGCGCAUGAGGAAUAAGGAUAGGCCUGAUCGUGGGGUAUGGGCGCCCCUUCGUCGCUCUGAUGGUUCUUAUGGGCGUGGCACUACUAAUGGGAUCCCAUUUUAUCAUGAAGAGAUUAAGCAUGAUUCUUCAAAUGGCAAUAGAAAUUCAGAAUUUAAAAGCCUUGCAGGUGGACGGGGAAGCCAUGCUUUGGAGAACGGUACACAGAGGCAUGUAGGCCGCCGUGGAUCAGCUCAUGUUUCAAAGGAAUUGGAUCACUCUUCAACUACAGCAGAAGGGAAACCCUUGAAAAGAGGCCCUCCUAGCUAUGGUUCCCACGAGGUGAGUGCUUCUUUAUGGAAAUGUUUUUAUUGUCAAAUGUUGACUUGUACAACUAAUAAGACUAUUUUACAGAAACAAGUGUGGGUUCAGAAGUCAGGUUCUGCUUCAUGAUUUUCCCUGGGGAAAAAAGGAAAAAAUUAAUGGUUACAAGGUAUCCACAAUAACAUGCACAUACAGAAGAGGGGCGAGAGAGAACAAAGCUUUCGUCAUAGUUUGGUACCAUUCUGCAUUGGGUUUCUCUAUCAGUUUCAAAUUCCUGGAGGACGACGACGAGACAUCAUUGUUGCCCAGAAUUCACAACGGGCAAUAUGAUCAUCUCGCUUUCAAUGAUCAGGCUGGAAUUUUCUACCUUCCAUCCACCAAUGGAGUUUUCGCCAGCUAAACAGUUCUCUACGUGACAGUGGUAGCAGCUUUGCCUGUUUGGUAUAUGAAAGCUUGUUUUACGGAUUCCUGAAUAACUGAGAAGUUCUUGCCUGGCAAUCAUUCAACAGAGCUUUCCAUGGAAGCUGCUCAGUUUGUUUGAGUGGCUGAAAAUGGAAGACUGUUGGGUCUUCUCUGCUUGCAACUUGGGAGGUAAAGAUUUGGCCAAAGGAUGUAAAUAUAUCAGGACUCGGCGAGCGCUUCUAUAGAGACAUUGUUAAUAUGAAGUUUAAGGAUUUGUUGCACAGUGUUUUAAUUGCUGGAGUGAACAGGAGAUGGUUCUUAGUGUUUUCUUGCAGAUAUGUAAAUGCUCACGCGCCUUAUAAAGCAGAGUUGGCUUCUCUUACAAGCCAACCGGCUGACUGGCAGAGUGGGAGGUGGUUUGUCUAUGAAAUAUUGGGGUUUUGGUGAAGUGAACGCUAUUCUACUUUUAUAUUAUAAACUUUAUAGUUAUUUUGAUUUUUA